This 385-nucleotide ribosomal RNA is filed under the name uncultured bacterium. Its description in RNAcentral is "bacterial SSU rRNA". It matches the Rfam family "Bacterial small subunit ribosomal RNA", at positions 370 to 772 of the family's 1533-position model. The record is from RNAcentral.
AAUGGGCGAAAGCCUGAUGCAGCGACGCCGCGUGAGUGAAGAAGUAUUUCGGUAUGUAAAGCUCUAUCAGCAGGGAAGAUAAUGACGGUACCUGACUAAGAAGCCCCGGCUAACUACGUGCCAGCAGCCGCGGUAAUACGUAGGGGGCAAGCGUUAUCCGGAUUUACUGGGUGUAAAGGGAGCGUAGACGGCAUGGCAAGUCUGAAGUGAAAACCCAGGGCUCAACCCUGGGACUGCUUUGGAAACUGUCAAGCUAGAGUGCAGGAGAGGUAAGUGGAAUUCCUAGUGUAGCGGUGAAAUGCGUAGAUAUUAGGAGGAACACCAGUGGCGAAGGCGGCUUACUGGACUGUAACUGACGUUGAGGCUCGAAAGCGUGGGGAGCAAA